GAGAUUGUGAUCCAAAAUGUAGUGGUUCAGCUUUAAAUAGGUUAUGGGUUGGAAGGGGGCCUGUGGAGUUUUUAUUCCAACCUGAACAUGUCCUUUG
Nanorana parkeri is the source of this 97-nucleotide long non-coding RNA. RefSeq lists it as uncharacterized. The transcript is spliced from 3 exons. The record is from RefSeq and is a predicted model, not a curated record. NCBI's taxonomy places the organism in Eukaryota, Metazoa, Chordata, Amphibia, Anura, Dicroglossidae.